AGGGAGCCUGAUAUGGGACUUCAUCCUGCGACCCCAGGAUUACACCCUGAGCUGAGCCGAAGGCAGACGCUCAACCGCCGAGCCACCCAGGCAUCCCAGGAGGUGAGGGAAUUCUUAAUGGGCUUCUGGUGGUUUUGCUUCUGUUGCUGGGAGAAAUCUGGGCAGAGAAAGUUUUCUGGGCUGAGGCACUUCUUAAGGGGCUUCUCUUUGGCAGGACUCUGAGGUGCUCUGGGGAGGAGCGGGGGAAUUUGUGGGAUCUUCCCAUCCCCUUUCUGGGCCGGCCUUCAUCCUGGACCUGUGUGUCAUGUGUGCUCACUGCUCAUCUUCUGGGACAUGCCUUCCAACUGAUAUGCUCUGGGGCUGUUGAGGGGUACUCUGUGGAAGUGCAGCAUGUUACGGAUGCAUGGGCAUCUCUGAAAAAAAUCCACAGAUGUUGAGCAUGGAAGAAGCCAGACUUGGACUAAGACGUCCCUCAGUUAGCUGUCUUGGAACCCGAUUACUCUCUGGCUCCAAGGCUUCUCGAGGAGCAGUGAUGACAAAUUUCAGGUGUUCCCACUGAGCAGGGUGGGGUUUAUGAUGCGGAGUGUGGUGUGGUGGAAAGAGUUUGGGGUUUGGAAUCAACCUACCCGAGACCAAUCACAGGAGGCCACCACUUAGUCACUCGGCAAAUGGCCUGGGUUUUGAUUUCCUUGUCUCUCAGAGGGGAGAUAAUAAUACCUUCCCUGAAAUGAUUGCCUGGAGAAUCAAGAGAGACAUGUGAAAAGCCUUUGGAACCUGUAAAAUGCUCUCCACAUGUCGUCUUUAUUAUUCUCUGCUCUUAGAAGAUGAACUUUAAAAGUCUCUUUCAACUGUGAUGAAUUCUGUGAUGUUAAACUCUUCCUGGGACAAAGCUCUCUGUUCUUUUUUUCCCCACGAGACACUACAAACUCAAGAGGUGCGUGGAGUCCAGGUGCAACCCAGUGAGUUGACGCUCUUUUUUUGUUUGAUUCAGUGCAAUUUUACAUUUUCCCUCUCUCUUUCUUCCCUUUGUUUUUGUUUUAGGUUGAACCGAACAGAUCCUUAAAGUAACAGUGGCUCUGGGAAGAGCCAUACAGGGCUCUGGCCCAAGCUGUGGUAUCAGACAUGAGGUCAGCAGCAGAGAAGCUGUCUGGGCAGGCUGCUGGAAGGGGGGCCACCUGGGUUUGGUGCUUCUUGAUGAGGUGUUUCUCCAGGAAUGACUUAUGUAUGCUAGGCGAAAGAAUUGAGUGUUGAGUUUGGCUAAUGCCCACUAGAGAGCUGUCAUUACAUCAAGGUUAGUUCAUGACUCAAAGGAUGUCUUGAAUAUCAAUUGUUUCUUCCUUCUGUGAGGGGGGAGGCAUAUUUUAUCAGUCUUGUCGGGAAAGAGGGUAGGGUUGAGGCUUCGAUAUAUAGAUGGAAGCAUCAGAGUGUAGUAGAAAGACUACUGGCCUUGGAGUCUUAAAACCUGGGUGGACUUGCACAUCACUAACUGCCUGUGUGACUCAGUGGAAAUCACUUAACCUCUCUGGUCCACAGGAGUUUUAUAUAUAUAUAUGGAGUAUAAUUACAUUUGGGGAUAGUUAUGUGUAUCACGUUGUACAGUAAUUGCCUUUGUAAACAAUGAAUAUUUCAAAAAUUGAUGUGUAAUAUACAUUCAGAAAACUGCCCACAUCACCAGCACAGAGCUUGAUGAACUAUCCCAACCUAAUUCCACUCGUGUAACCACCAGCCCGAUGAAGAACUAUUGUAUCACCAGACGCCUGGAAUCCCCUCUUCGCCCUCUCCCUGCCACUCCCCAGCCUCCUCCUCCAAAACGAGUAUGAUCCCAUCUCCUAACACCAUAGAUUAGUUUUGGCCAUCGUCGUUGCACUUUACAAAACGAAAUCAUACAAUGUGUACAUUUUUGGUGUCUGGCUUGCUUUGCUUUUGAGAUUCAUCCACGUUGCCAUAAGUAGCAGUUAUGUAUCUGUUCGCAUUGCUAUUAUUGCUAUUAUUACAGCCCACUGUAUCCACCUGCUGCUGGUGGAGAUUUGGGUCAUUUCUAGUUUGUGGCUCUUCUUCUUGGUGUUCUGUUGCCUGUAUCUCUGUCUGGCAUAUACUUAAGGGUGGAAUUGCCAAGUCCUAUAGAGAGUAUGUGGCUCCGCUUUAAUAGGUAUCGUCAUGGAGGUUUACACAGUGGGUGUCUUAACUUCCUGUCCCCCACCCAGCAGUGCCCGAGCUUCCACCUCUCCGUGUCUUUCAUUGUGUCCCGCUAUCUCAUGGUGUUUUUUUGGUCGCAUUUCCCCCAUGGCUGCUGAGGUUAGGCCCAUUUCUGUACAUUCGUAAGCCAUUUAAAAAUCCUCUUUCAUGAAGUGCUUGUUUAAGUCUUUUGGGUCAUUUUUUUUGUUGCAUUAAAAAAUUUUUUUUGUAAGAGUUCUUAUAUUUAACUGUAAUACACUGCUGGAUAUAUUAAUUGCACAUAGCCUUCUCCUACUCUGUGGCUUGCAUUUUCACUCUCUAUUUCAUGAACAGAAGUUUCUAAUUUUAACAUAGUUUAAUAUACCAAUCCUUUCUCUUAUUGUUAGUUUUUCUUUUUUGUGUUGUCCUUAUGAAAUCUUUGGGGUGUGAGACGAGCAUCCUGGGGAAGACAUGAGGCAGCAGCAUGCCCGUCAGGACACCUUCCAUCUGAUCCCAAGAUGCUUGUGGAGCUCCACUGAGCUUGCAGGGCCUCUGUGUACCCUUGCAAUAACCUCAACCUUUCAUUUGAGCUCGUUUGAGUGGUUUCUGAUCCUUGCAAUCAAAAGAGUUUGGGACAAAGAUACUCCAGAUCAAAGAUUUUAUUUAUUCAUGAGAGAUGCAGCGAGAGAGGCAGAGACAUAGACAGAGGGACAAGCAGGCUCCCUGUGGGGAGCCUAACGUGGGACUCAAUCCCGGGACCCUGGGAUCACGCCCUGAGAUGAAGGCAGAUGCUCAACCACUGAGCUACCCACGAGUUCCUACUGGGGUCUCCAAACCAUCAGAGACGUGGACUGACCUCCCAGCCAAGAAUUCCUUAACUUCAGGAUGCUGGUCCUGGAUAUUUUGGUUUGAUUGGGAUGGAUACAGCUACAGAGAACCUUGUUCUUCCCUGCAGAGCACUGGGGCUAUAGAUAUUCUGUCCUCGGGGCCAGGAAACUGGAUAUCCUGAUUCCUUCGCUUCCUGUCCCACCCACUCACUGGACCUGUGUGCCUAACAUCUGCAAUCAUUUGCAAAAUACAAGUUCCCAGGCCUGGAGGCGGCACUGUUUUCUUUCCUGCACACAUGCAAAGACCUUUGAGUCGGCAGCUCUGUUUUAUAAGGUUGCUACUUCCUGCCCUUGCUUUAUUACAUCUGUUCUUUGGGGCAUGGUGUUAUAAAUUGGGUAUGUGAUGAUGUGUAAUCACUAACUGAAAAGCCAAUACAUUUUCACUGUACCGGCAGCAAGACAAAUAAAAGGCAAA
RNAcentral lists this long non-coding RNA (3456 nucleotides) under Canis lupus familiaris (dog). RNAcentral describes it as "lncRNA (ENSCAFG00000050856.1)". The record is from RNAcentral. Lineage: Eukaryota; Metazoa; Chordata; Mammalia; Carnivora; Canidae.